RNAcentral lists this ribosomal RNA (800 nucleotides) under uncultured bacterium. RNAcentral's name for it is "bacterial SSU rRNA". It matches the Rfam family "Bacterial small subunit ribosomal RNA", at positions 185 to 965 of the family's 1533-position model. The record is from RNAcentral.
CAGGCAUCUGCGAAAGCUCAAAGCUGGGGAUCGCAAGACCUGGCGCUUUAGGAUGGGCCCGCGGCCUAUCAGCUAGUUGGUGAGGUAAAAGCUCACCAAGGCGAAGACGGGUAGCUGGUCUGAGAGGACGACCAGCCACACUGGAACUGAGACACGGUCCAGACACCUACGGGUAGCAGCAGUCGAGAAUUUUUCACAAUGGGCGAAAGCCUGAUGGAGCGACGCCGCGUGGGGGAUGAAUGGCUUCGGCCCGUAAACCCCUGUCAUCUGGGAGCAAACCUGCUCUGCUAAUACCAGUGCAGUUGAUAGUACCAGAAGAGGAAGGGACGGCUAACUCUGUGCCAGCAGCCGCGGUAAUACAGAGGUCCCAAGCGUUGUUCGGAUUCACUGGGCGUAAAGGGUGCGUAGGCGGUUGAUUAAGUCUGAUGUGAAAUCUCCGAGCCCAACUCGGAAAUGGCAUCGGAUACUAGUCGGCUAGAGGAUUGGAGGGGGGACUGGAAUUCUCGGUGUAGCAGUGAAAUGCGUAGAUAUCGAGAGGAACACCAGUGGCGAAGGCGAGUCCCUGGACAAUUCCUGACGCUGAGGCACGAAAGCUAGGGGAGCAAACAGGAUUAGAUACCCUGGUAGUCCUAGCCGUAAACGGUGCACGCUUGCUGUGGGCGGAAUCGACCCCGUCCGUGGCGAAGCAAACGCGUUAAGCGUGCCGCCUGGGAAGUACGGUCGCAAGAUUAAAACUCAAAGAAAUUGACGGGGGCCUGCACAAGCGGUGGAGUAUGUGGCUUAAUUCGAUGCAACGCGAA